AAUACGAAUGCCCCCAACCGUCCCUAUUAAUCAUUACUUCAGUCCUAGAAACCAACAAAAUAGGGCCGAAAUCCUAUCUUAUUAUUCCAUGCUGCAGUAUUCAAGGCGACAAGCCUGCUUGAAACACUCUAAUUUUCUCAAAGUAAAAGUCCUGGAAAAAACUCCACACAAUGAAGUGUGGAGAAAUCCAGAAGGAUGCUAGAAUUCACCAAGUGCACACCCCUGAGGGCGGACUGGCUGCUUCCAGCAGAAAUCCAACUACGAGCUUUUUAACUGCAACAACUUUAAUAUACGCUAUUGGAGCUGGAAUUACCGCGGCUGCUGGCACCAGACUUGCCCUCCAAUUGUUACUCUGAAAGGGGCUUGGAUUCCUAUCAUUCCAAUCACUAGAAAUGAAAUUUCCAGUGUUGUUAUUUCUUGUCACUACCUCCCUGAAUCAGGAUUGGGUAAUUUGCGCGCCUGCUGCCUUCCUUAGAUGUGGUAGCCGUUUCUCAGGCUCCCUCUCCGGAAUCGAACCCUAAUUCCCCGUUACCCGUCACUGCCACGGUAGUCCAAUACAGUACCGUCGAAAGCUGAUAGGUCAGAAACUUGAAUGAUCCGUCGCAGACCGAAGUCAACGCGAUCCGUUCGGUUACUAUGAAUCACCUGAGGACCACCGGAAGGUGGGUUGGUUCUGUAUCUAAUAAACACUGCCCUUCCAGGGGAAGAGGCAUGUGCGCAUGUAUUAGCCAUAGAAUUACCACGGUUAUCCAUGUAGUAAAGACCAUCAAAUAAACUAUAACUGUUUUAAUGAGCCAUUCGCAGUUUAGCCGUAUAAAAGCUUAUACUUAGACAUGCAUGGCUUAAUCUUUAAGACAAGCAUAUGA
Toxoplasma gondii ME49 is the source of this 866-nucleotide ribosomal RNA. NCBI's taxonomy places the organism in Eukaryota, Apicomplexa, Conoidasida, Eucoccidiorida, Sarcocystidae. The record is from RefSeq and is a predicted model, not a curated record.